AUAAAGUGGAGCGAUAACGUCGAUGCGAUGAUGGUUCGGCCGGACAGCUGUGCGCCAGCCCUGGUUACUUAGAUUUGAAAGACGAAACUUGCGGAUAUGAAGUGAGGAAUUCAAGCAAUGUAACGCAUUUUUCUGAGACAGCGUCUUUGGGAAACCUGGUAAAUGUUUCCAACACGGCAUAAAAUAUACAAAACAAACGAAAAAAUCCCACAAAAACAAGACAAACUUCUCCAUUUUAUUUUUCCUCGAAAGCAUUUAAAGCUUUUUUCAAACAAGGAAAAUAGCAAAUUAAAAAAGAAAUAUAUAAAUGAAAAGAGGAAAAGAGAAGACAUUCUUUUAAGUGAGAACUGAGAACAAAGAAACAUUUGUUGUAAAUAACGAAUUUUUAAAAAAAAAUAAACAUGAAUACAUUUAAAAAAAAAGAGUGAAAUAUAUAUAUAAAUAAAAUAAACACAAAGAAUUACAAAAGAAGGCAAAAAACGAACGAAGGAGGACAUUUUGAAAUGGAUAACAAGGAUUACAUACACACAGAGUGAUUAUUAUUAUUAUUGUUAUUAUUUUGAUUAUUAGUAGUACUGCGAUUAUGUCUACUACAACUGCUGCUACAUUCUUCUACAGUAACAGAAACAGCAGCAAGAAACAUAGCACUUUUAAGAUUGUGAAGAUUUGCCUGGAACUUAACCAUCCAUUAAGAUAUCUUCUACGAAGAUUAUGUGGAGAAAACUGGCGGGGCUGAGUGUUGGCAAAAAGAAAAAAAAUAAGAUGGAAAUUAAUGAACUGCAUACAUCUUUUUUUAAUUAAAAAACCGUCUUAAUUAUAAUACUGUUUACAAAAUACUAAACAAAAACUUUCAAAAGAGAGAAAAUGAACAGCUAGACCUUCAAGAACUGAUUAAUGUCAAUGAUACUUAGAAUAAUGAUUGCUAAUGAUUAUGAUAGUUGUAGCCACAACAUGUGGCUAUACGAAACAUGAAAUGGUAAUGGAGCGUGUCCAAGGAUGGCUGAAACUAAUGUGAUUACUGUUAUUUUGUUUUGUUAAACACUGGUACUUACCACACACACACACACACAGCCACACACACGCACACACCAACAUACACACACACACUCCUCCUCCACUCUCUCUACCUCUCCCUGUCUCUCUAUCUCUCACGUAAUACAUAUUUAUGUGUAUAUGAAUCCAUAUGUAUUUAUGAGCGUUUACGUGAAACAUUUUUUGCAUGAAAUACAUAAUUUGGUAAAGCAUAAAGAAAAGAACUAUGACACAAAGCGCAUUCAAAAAAUAACGAAGCAUCAAAAGCGAACAGCAAUAACAACAACAGUAACGACAACAACAAUAACAACAAUAUCAACAACAAUAACAACAAAAUCAACAACAACAACAAGGUAUACUCUUUGUGUUAACAGUGUAAUAAGGGCAAAAUAUUUCAUGAAGUUAAAUAUCAAUAACAAAGCAACCGGAAACAAAGGCCCACACAUCUACAAAAACAUUGUCUUGUAAUGGAUACAAGAAUACAAAUGCACUUUACACACUGAAGAACACCAAUAAUAACAAUAAUAAUAAUUAAAAGACAAGCAUAUUUUGAAAGCGGUAAUAAAAUUUAUAUGAAAGACGCAAAAAAUUAACAACAAUACAAUAAUAAUAAUAAUAACAACAACAACAACAAUAAUAAUAAUAAUAACAGCAAAAACAAUGACAGCAGUUACAUUUACUCUCUUACGUUAACAUGUGAAAACGAAGUAUAAAAUAAAAGACAAAUAAUUAUUGUACCAUUUAA
Molecule: long non-coding RNA, 1777 nt
Organism: Octopus sinensis (East Asian common octopus)
Lineage: Eukaryota; Metazoa; Mollusca; Cephalopoda; Octopoda; Octopodidae
Exons: 4
Source: RefSeq, a predicted model, not a curated record